Molecule: long non-coding RNA, 159 nt
Organism: Rhipicephalus microplus (southern cattle tick)
Lineage: Eukaryota; Metazoa; Arthropoda; Arachnida; Ixodida; Ixodidae
Source: RefSeq, a predicted model, not a curated record
CAUGAAUCGAGCUGCCAGCCAUUUCAAGCUUUGACGGUGCCUGUUGAGUCUCAGCAGAACUUUUGUGCUGCCUGUGGAGGAUUUCUGUCUGCUGAGGGCACAGCUGAUGUCACCGGCUCCAGUUCAAGUAGUUGGGAUGCUGAUCAAGCAGUAGUAGCU